ACAGAACAUCAUGCCCGCCUCUCUACCCACCUACAUCACAUUAUUCUCAAAGCUCCAUUUCUGGGUCAGCUUUCCCACACUAGAAAGAAGAGAGCUUUUGAUGCUUCCUUCUCCAUGAUGCUUAAGAGAUCCGCUCCAGAAGAUGAGCCAGCACUUAUUUCCAAAGCUACAGAGGUUGUCUCUAAGGGAUGUUUUAAAGAAUGCCAUUUAAAGUGACCACACAGUAGACUGAAGAAAAAGAAGUAACAAAUUGUAUACAGACAUCAUGGAAAAGAGAGCCAUCAUGGAAAAAAGUGUGCUGACAAAGAAGAUUACUCCUUCAAACAAGGUUGCGCCUAUUCUCUGAUGGGCAGCCUUUAAAUUAAAAGGUGCGGGUAGCCAAUAAGUACCUUCAAAGAAGAGGGUGGGAGGACCACGAUGACAAAAAUCGUCCAGAUUCUAUUACAUGUUAUUUGUCACUCAAAAGAAAGGCUUUAACCGACAAAAGCAGGCUUUUCACCAGACGGUGGCUUUGCUGGAGAGAGACAGAGACAGAGUCAAGUGGGGGAGGGGCAGAGAGAGAGGAAGACACAGAUUCUGAAGCAGGCUCCAGGCUCUGAGCUGUCAGCACAGAGCCCAAGGCAGGGCUCGAACUCACAAACCACGGGAUCAUGACCUGAGCUGAAGUCAGACACUCAACCGACUGAGCCACCCAGGCGCCCCUAGCAUGAUCUCAUUCUUGUGAGGAAAAUAAUAUUUUGGUUUUUUAUUUUCCUAAUCAGGUCAUUGGGCUGGUCAGUAUAAGAAAAAAUAAGUUAAAGUGGUAAAACAUAAGAAAUAAACAUUUUGUUUUAACCUAAAACAUAAACGUACACUCCUCCACCAGUCAUUUGAUAAAGAGCCAAGAUUAAUUCACUUUGGUUGUCGGUCCACUUUUUAUAGCUCUGCAUCAUCUGUCUUUAUGUACCACACUGUCAAGUAUUUUCAGUUUCAAUUUCUUUAAUUGGUGAGAAAACAUAAAGACUGUUGUGAAGCAAUCUAAGUCCAAAAUACUUCCAUAUUUUUAUAAUUUUUCUCCAACUCUCAUGGCUGUCUUGCCUCCACCUGACUUGAUAGCAAAUCUUAGCAAGUUGCAUUUUUAAAAGUUUUUCCACACCAUUGAAGUUAAUUUCCAUAAAAGUGACUCUCUUUGCAAAAUCACAUUUCAUCAGUUUGCAUAAUUGGAAUAACACAACCAGUAUAAACAAAUUUCGGUGGCGAAAAUACAACUAGCUCUUGAUCAGUAGACAAAGCUGGUGAGAAAGUAAAUGCAUUCUUGAAAGUGACCUCCUUGCCACAUUAAGCAAAAAAAAUUUUACUGAGCAAAUGGAAAGCAUUGUUUAACACAGCAUGUGGGCCUGGCAGAGAUCAGAGGAAGAUGGAAAUGCUCUUCUCCCAGCUGUCUGUGUGGCUGGCUGGACAAUAAUCUUCCAGUCUCAACCUCGGCCACCUCCCAAGGAAGUCUUCCAUGAUUUCCUUGACCAUUCCUCCUAUUCUUCAUCACAUCACCCUGUGUUUUCAUCAUAAAAAAUCAUUAUCUGUAA
Molecule: long non-coding RNA, 1562 nt
Organism: Neofelis nebulosa (Clouded leopard)
Lineage: Eukaryota; Metazoa; Chordata; Mammalia; Carnivora; Felidae
Exons: 3
Source: RefSeq, a predicted model, not a curated record